Molecule: long non-coding RNA, 2752 nt
Filed under: Sus scrofa (pig)
Lineage: Eukaryota; Metazoa; Chordata; Mammalia; Artiodactyla; Suidae
Description: lncRNA (ENSSSCG00050002122.1)
Source: RNAcentral
CCCCUGCGUUCAAGCUUCAACUGCCGCUGCCUCAGAAUAUCCUUGGCACAAAUAUAAGCUUGUGACAACAACAGCAGCUGACUAUUAUGUGGAUUCACCAGGUAAUUCUGGAAAUGAGAAGCCCAAUUAUUUUUUCCUUUUAAAUUUCAGUGACCACUUAAGAUUUCUGCUUUAAACACUUUUCCCAUGAUUUUCUGUCAAUAAAAUAUGCACACAACUCCAUACUUUUUUUUUGUCAAUUAACAAAAUUUAAGAUAGAAUUGUGUUACUACAGCUAUUAAAAUUAGCACAGAAGAUGCUCCAGGAUGUCAAAUAAUUCAUUUCUAUCACAAAACCCAAUUAAAGAGGGACAUUUAGAGCCCUUAGGAAUUAUAAAAUUAUCUUCCUUUAUGGCAACUAGCUUUCUAAAAAAGACAGAUCCUUAAUCUUUGUAUCUUUUCAGAGGAUUCAGUUAACAUUUGUAAUUCUAGUGCUUUAGGAAAUUGACCUAACAACUCUGAAUUUUGAUUUGUUAUUUCUAAGAUCAGGACAAUAAAUCUAUAAUUCAAAAAUCUUACAAGAGGUAAUAUUGAGAUGAGACAGUUGAGUAUGGUGGAUAGGAAAACAGACAUGGAAACAAACACCUGAAUUAGGGUACCAACUCUAUCACUUACUAGUUGGUAAACUUGGUGAAUUUAUCUAACCUCUCCAUGCCUUCAUUUCCUCAACUGUAAAAUGGGCACUAAUAGUACCUAUCUCAUAAGUUGCUGUUAUGACUACAUGAGUUAAUAUACAUAAAGUAUUUAGUGUCUGGCAUAUAAGUACUACAUACAUACAAAUUUUUAUUCUCAUGUAAAUUCAUAUUAUUCUCUGAAUAUAAUAUUUAAAAAAUAUUUCAAAGGGAAUAGCAUUAUAAUUUUAAUCAAACAAUGAAUUAUUCUACAUUUUUUUACUUUGUAAAUUUAUAGUUAAGCUAGCUAUUUCCUCAUUGUCCCUCCUACCCCACCCAACUUCUCAAUCCUGAAAAUUUUUGAAAGGCUAAGACAUAGCCUAUAUUAACAGCAUUUCUGUUUCAUGUUUUCAUAAAUGGUAGAACUGAAACUUCAAAAUAUCCAACUAAAAUUCUCACUUAAUGAAUACUUAAAAUGUAAAACCUGUGAUCAGUAAUUUACUUUAGUAGCACAUAUAAACAAAAUAUAGGAAGCAUUUCCCUUAACUUUUUCUACAAAUGUAGUUUUCUUAAAUACACUUUCUAAGACUGCUUAAUACCUCAAUAAGAUUGGGAAAUCCAGCAGAGGGCAGACAGAAAUAGAAGAAUACAUCCAAACAACUCAGAUUUUAUGUAAAACCCUCCAAAACACAACGUUAGCAUAAAGUAUUAACUGGGAUAUAUUUCUUUCAUGCCAAUUUCAACUGUAUUUUUGUUUGUCAAGUCAUUAAUUUUAAAUUUCAUUAUUUAAAUACCCAGAGUGAAACCAAAGAAACAAAACUUUUUUUUUUCUUCUCUGGUGAUAUGGACAUGAGUUAUUUCACAAUCAUGAUUAUUACAUAGAUUUUAAAACCAUACAUAAUUUUAUUUAAACAAUUUUCACUUUUAAUUCACUGACAGUAAGGGUAUACUGCUGUGCAUAGUAUAAAAUAAUAAAUGCCAUUAUUUUGACCAAAUUAAUAUUUCUCAUUCUGUGCACUGCUUUAUAUUACUUUCAUAUUAGUUCUUCCACAUAACAAUAAAUAGUUUAAGGCAUCAGUUGUGUAAGUAAGAUAGUAUCGUUAUUUAAUAUGCAUUCUUAAAAUUACUGCCAAGCAGGAUCAUAAUAAAAUGUGACCUGAUAUGCAGUGCUAUUAGAUAAAUAAACCAGUAUAACCUUUCUGAAAAGCCAUUUGGCAAUAUAUACCAACAACCUUCAUUUUCACCCAACUUCUAGAAAGUGAUUCUAAGAAAAUAGCCAAAAAUAUUUUUUAAAGUUUUUUAUGCAAAGACGUUUAUUACAGUCUGACUUACAAUAUGAAAAAACAGCUUAAGUAAAUUAUGGUUCAGCAUAUGGCAGAGUCCCAUAGGAUCAUUAAGAAUUAUAUUUAUGAGAAUCUCUGCUGUGUGGCAUAGUGGGUUAAGAAUCCAACUGCAGCAGCUCAAGUUGCUGUAGAGGUGCGGGUUCGAUCCCCAGGUGCAGUGCUAUAGGUUAAAGGAGUGUUGCUGCAGCUGCAGUGUAGGUUGCAACUGUGGCUCAGAUUCAGUCCCUGGCCCUGGAACUUCCAUAUGCUGUGGGUGCAGCCAUAAAAAUAAAAAAAUAAAAAAGAAUUAUUUUUAUGGAGAGUUUUGUAAAAAAAAAAAAAAAUUCUGUGUUAUAAGGUUACGUUUAAAAGGAAAAGUGGAACAAUUUAUCAUUUAAGUCAAAUUAAAAAUACAUAGAAAAAAAUGAAUGGAACACAGUACAACCAAAUGUUAAUAAUGCUAUCUUGUGAAUGGUGGGAUUAUUAGGUGAUUUUUUUCUUCAUCAUGUUUCUGUUUUCAAGAUUUUCUAAAUUGUACAUUAUCCAUUUUCAUAAUGAGAUAAAAACUUAUAACAAUAAUUCAUACCAAAAUAGAUUACUGUUAAUCUCAUUAAAGAAGUACUGAUGGCAAGUGUAUAUGUUUGGAGGAAAGGCCAAUUAGAAAAGCUGAACUUGGAUUUCCCAUUGUGGCUUAGCAGGUUAAGGACUUGAAGUUGUCUCUGUGAGGAUAUGGGUUUGAUCCUUGGCCUUGCUCAGUAGGUUAAGGAUCCAGCAUUGCUGU